RNAcentral lists this ribosomal RNA (972 nucleotides) under uncultured bacterium. RNAcentral's name for it is "bacterial SSU rRNA". It matches the Rfam family "Bacterial small subunit ribosomal RNA", at positions 95 to 1069 of the family's 1533-position model. The record is from RNAcentral.
GCGGCGAAAGGGAGAGUAACGAGUAGAUACGUACCCAGGGGUUCGGGAUAGCUGCGGGAAACUGCAGGUAAUACCGGAUAAUGUCUUCGGACCAAAGGUGUGAUUCCGUCAGGGGAGGGGCCUGCAUCCUAUUAGCUUGUUGGUGAGGUAAUGGCUCACCAAGGCAACGAUGGGUAGCGGGUGUGAGAGCAUGACCCGCGUCAUUGGGACUGAGACACUGCCCAGACAUCUACGGAUGGCUGCAGUCGAGAAUCUUCGGCAAUGGGCGAAAGCCUGACCGAGCGACGCCGCGUGCGGGAUGAAGGCCCUCGGGUUGUAAACCGCUGUCGUUGGGGAGGAAAUGCAAAAGGGCUAUCCCUUCUGUUUGACCGAUCCAAGGAGGAAGUACGGGCUAAGUUCGUGCCAGCAGCCGCGGUAAGACGAACCGUACGAACGUUAUUCGGAAUUACUGGGCUUAAAGGGUGCGUAGGCUGCACGGAAAGUUGGGUGUGAAAGCCCUCAGCUCAACUGAGGAAUUGCAUCCGAAACUGCCGUGCUAGAGGGAGACAGAGGUGAGCGGAACUCAAGGUGGAGCGGUGAAAUGCGUUGAUAUCUUGAGGAACACCGGUGGCGAAAGCGGCUCACUGGGUCUCUUCUGACGCUGAGGCACGAAAGCUAAGGUAGCAAACGGGAUUAGAUACCCCGGUAGUCUUAGCUGUAAACGAUGAGCACUUGAUUGGAGGGUCCUCCAUAGCCUUCCAGUCGUAGCGAAGUGUUAAGUGCUCCGCCUGGGGGAGUAUGGUCGCAAGGGCUGAAACUCAAAGAAAUUGACGGGGGCUCACACAAGCCGCUGGAGGAUGUGGCUUAAUUCGAGGCUACGCGAGAACCCUUAUCCUAGUCUUGACUUGUAUGAAUGACCCUGUGAAACCAGUCCACGCCUUCGGGUUGGAACAUACACAGGUGCUGCAUGGCCUGUCAUCAGCUCGAGUCGUG